GAUGAACGCUGGCGGCGUGCCUAAUACAUGCAAGUCGAGCGAACAGAUAAGGAGCUUGCUCCUUUGACGUUAGCGGCGGACGGGUGAGUAACACGUGGGUAACCUACCUAUAAGACUGGAAUAACUCCGGGAAACCGGGGCUAGUGCCGGAUAACAUGUUGAACCGCAUGGUUCUACAGUGAAAGGCGGCUUUGCUGUCACUUAUAGAUGGACCCGCGCCGUAUUAGCUAGUUGGUGAGGUAAUGGCUCACCAAGGCAACGAUACGUAGCCGACCUGAGAGGGUGAUCGGCCACACUGGAACUGAGACACGGUCCAG
This 317-nucleotide ribosomal RNA is filed under the name uncultured bacterium. RNAcentral's name for it is "bacterial SSU rRNA". It matches the Rfam family "Bacterial small subunit ribosomal RNA", at positions 28 to 334 of the family's 1533-position model. The record is from RNAcentral.